GACGAACGCUGGCGGCGUGCUUAACACAUGCAGGUCGAACGGAAAGGCCCUGCUUUUGUGGGGUGCUCGAGUGGCGAACGGGUGAGUAGCACGUGAGUAACCUGCCCUUGACUUUGGGAUAACUUCAGGAAACUGGGGCUAAUACCGGAUAGGAGCUCCUGCUGCAUGGUGGGGGUUGGAAAGUUUCGGCGGUUGGGGAUGGACUCGCGGCUUAUCAGCUUGUUGGUGGGGUAGUGGCUUACCAAGGCUUUGACGGGUAGCCGGCCUGAGAGGGUGACCGGCCACAUUGGGACUGAGAUACGGCCCAGACUCCUACGGGAGGCAGCAGUGGGGAAUAUUGCACAAUGGGCGGAAGCCUGAUGCAGCAACGCCGCGUGCGGGAUGACGGCCUUCGGGUUGUAAACCGCUUUCGCCUGUGACGAAGCGUGAGUGACGGUAAUGGGUAAAGAAGCACCGGCUAACUACGUG
This 468-nucleotide ribosomal RNA is filed under the name uncultured bacterium. RNAcentral's name for it is "partial 16S ribosomal RNA". It matches the Rfam family "Bacterial small subunit ribosomal RNA", at positions 28 to 507 of the family's 1533-position model. The record is from RNAcentral.